CAGCAGCCGCGGUAAUACGAAGGGUGCAAGCGUUAAUCGGAAUUACUGGGCGUAAAGCGCGCGUAGGUGGUUUGGUAAGAUGGAUGUGAAAUCCCCGGGCUCAACCUGGGAACUGCAUCCAUAACUGCCUGACUAGAGUACGGUAGAGGGUGGUGGAAUUUCCUGUGUAGCGGUGAAAUGCGUAGAUAUAGGAAGGAACACCAGUGGCGAAGGCGACCACCUGGACUGAUACUGACACUGAGGUGCGAAAGCGUGGGGAGCAAACAGGAUUAGAUACCCCAGUAGUCCCUGUCUCUUAUAC
Molecule: ribosomal RNA, 301 nt
Filed under: uncultured bacterium
Lineage: Bacteria
Description: partial 16S ribosomal RNA
Rfam family: Bacterial small subunit ribosomal RNA
Source: RNAcentral